AAGGGAGCGUAGGCGGCGUGGCAAGUCUGAUGUGAAAACUUGGGGCUCAACCCCAAGAUUGCAUUGGAAACUGUCAUGCUAGAGUGUCGGAGAGGUAAGCGGAAUUCCUAGUGUAGCGGUGAAAUGCGUAGAUAUUAGGAGGAACAUCGGUGGCGAAGGCGGCUUACUGGACGAAAACUGACGCUGAGGCUCGAAAGCGUGGGGAGCAAACAGGAUUAGAUACCCUGGUAGUCCACGCGGUAAAC
This 245-nucleotide ribosomal RNA is filed under the name uncultured bacterium. Its description in RNAcentral is "partial 16S ribosomal RNA". It matches the Rfam family "Bacterial small subunit ribosomal RNA", at positions 563 to 807 of the family's 1533-position model. The record is from RNAcentral.